Molecule: ribosomal RNA, 356 nt
Filed under: uncultured bacterium
Lineage: Bacteria
Description: bacterial SSU rRNA
Rfam family: Bacterial small subunit ribosomal RNA
Source: RNAcentral
GAGGAAGGUAGUGUAGUUAACACCUGCAUUAUUUGACGUUACCUACAGAAGAAGCACCGGCUAACUCCGUGCCAGCAGCCGCGGUAAUACGGAGGGUGCGAGCGUUAAUCGGAAUUACUGGGCGUAAAGCGCAUGCAGGCGGCCUGUUAAGUCAGAUGUGAAAGCCCGGGGCUUAACCUCGGAAUUGCAUUUGAAACUGGCAGGCUAGAGUCUUGUAGAGGGGGUAGAAUUUCAGGUGUAGCGGUGAAAUGCGUAGAGAUCUGAAGGAACACCAGUGGCGAAGGCGACAUACUGGCUCAUUACUGACGCUGAGGCUCGAAAGCGUGGGGAGCAAACAGGAUUAGAUACCCUGGUAG